Molecule: ribosomal RNA, 163 nt
Filed under: uncultured bacterium
Lineage: Bacteria
Description: partial 16S ribosomal RNA
Rfam family: Bacterial small subunit ribosomal RNA
Source: RNAcentral
UAGGGAAUCUUCGGCAAUGAACGAAAGUCUGACCGAGCAACGCCGCGUGAGUGAAGAAGGUUUUCGGAUCGUAAAACUCUGUUGUUAGAGAAGAACGUUGGUGAGAGUGGAAAGCUCAUCAAGUGACGGUAACUACCCAGAAAGGGACGGCUAACUACGUGCC